RNAcentral lists this ribosomal RNA (496 nucleotides) under uncultured bacterium. RNAcentral describes it as "partial 16S ribosomal RNA". It matches the Rfam family "Bacterial small subunit ribosomal RNA", at positions 28 to 506 of the family's 1533-position model. The record is from RNAcentral.
GAUGAACGCUGGCGGCGUGCCUAAUACAUGCAAGUCGAGCGAACAGACGAGGAGCUUGCUCCUCUGAUGUUAGCGGCGGACGGGUGAGUAACACGUGGAUAACCUACCUAUAAGACUGGGAUAACUUCGGGAAACCGGAGCUAAUACCGGAUAACAUGUUGAACCGCAUGGUUCAACAGUGAAAGACGGUCUUGCUGUCACUUAUAGAUGGAUCCGCGCCGCAUUAGCUAGUUGGUAAGGUAACGGCUUACCAAGGCAACGAUGCGUAGCCGACCUGAGAGGGUGAUCGGCCACACUGGAACUGAGACACGGUCCAGACUCCUACGGGAGGCAGCAGUAGGGAAUCUUCCGCAAUGGGCGAAAGCCUGACGGAGCAACGCCGCGUGAGUGAAGAAGGUCUUCGGAUCGUAAAACUCUGUUAUUAGGGAAGAACAAAUGUGUAAGUAACUAUGCACGUCUUGACGGUACCGAAUCAGAAAGCCACGGCUAACUACGU